GUGAGGAAUAUUGCGCAAUGGAGGCAACUCUGACGCAGCCAUGCCGCGUGCAGGAAGAAGGCGCUACGCGUUGUAAACUGCUUUUAACCGGGAAGAAACCCCAGGACGUGUCCUGGGUUGACGGUACCGGAGGAAUAAGCACCGGCUAACUUCGUGCCAGCAGCCGCGGUAAUACGAAGGGUGCAAGCGUUAUCCGGAUUCAUUGGGUUUAAAGGGUGCGUAGGCGGAGCGUUAAGGCAGUGGUGAAAUCCUGCAGCUUAACUGUAGACUUGCCAUUGAUACUGGCGCUCUUGAGUGCGCUUGAAGUGGGCGGAAUGUGCCGUGUAGCGGUGAAAUGCUUAGAUAUGGCACAGAACACCAAUUGCGAAGGCAGCUCACUAAGGCGAUACUGACGCUGAGGCACGAAAGCGUGGGGAUCGAACAGGAUUAGAAACCCCGGUAGUCC
RNAcentral lists this ribosomal RNA (445 nucleotides) under uncultured bacterium. RNAcentral's name for it is "partial 16S ribosomal RNA". It matches the Rfam family "Bacterial small subunit ribosomal RNA", at positions 354 to 796 of the family's 1533-position model. The record is from RNAcentral.